UUACCUGCGGAAGGAUCAUUA
This 21-nucleotide ribosomal RNA is filed under the name Pichia californica. RNAcentral describes it as "[Candida] californica partial 18S ribosomal RNA". The record is from RNAcentral. Lineage: Eukaryota; Fungi; Ascomycota; Pichiomycetes; Pichiales; Pichiaceae.